AGUGAACGCUGGCGGUAGGCCUAACACAUGCAAGUCGAACGGCAGCACAGUAAGCGCUUGCUCUUACGGGUGGCGAGUGGCGGACGGGUGAGGAAUACAUCGGAAUCUACUUUUUCGUGGGUGAUACGGAGGGAAACUUACGCUAAUACCGCAUACGACCUACGGGUGAAAGCAGGGGAUCUUCGGCCCUUGCGCGGUUGCAUAAACCGAUGUCGGAUUAGCUAGUUGGCGGGGUAAAGGCCCACCAAGGCGACGAUCCGUAGCUGGUCUGAGAGGAUGAUCAGCCACACUGGAACUGAGACACGGUCCAGACUCCUACGGGAGGCAGCAGUGGGGAAUAUUGGACAAUGGGCGCAAGCCUGAUCCAGCAAUACCGCGUGGGUGAAGAAGGCCUUCGGGUUGUAAAGCCCUGUUGUUGGGAAAGAAAAGCAGCAGGAUAAUACCCGGAUGUUCUGACGGUACCCAAAGAAUAAGCACCGGCUAACUUCGUG
This 491-nucleotide ribosomal RNA is filed under the name uncultured bacterium. Its description in RNAcentral is "partial 16S ribosomal RNA". It matches the Rfam family "Bacterial small subunit ribosomal RNA", at positions 29 to 507 of the family's 1533-position model. The record is from RNAcentral.